This 402-nucleotide ribosomal RNA is filed under the name uncultured bacterium. RNAcentral's name for it is "bacterial SSU rRNA". It matches the Rfam family "Bacterial small subunit ribosomal RNA", at positions 355 to 774 of the family's 1533-position model. The record is from RNAcentral.
UGGGGAAUCUUGCACAAUGGGGGCAACCCUGAUGCAGCGACGCCGCGUGAGCGAUGAAGCCCUUCGGGGCGUAAAGCUCUUUCGACCGGAACGAUAAUGACGGUACCGGGAGAAGAAGCUGCGGCUAACUACGUGCCAGCAGCCGCGGUAAUACGUAGGCAGCAAGCGUUGUUCGGAGUUACUGGGCGUAAAGAGUGCGUAGGCGGUUUUCUAAGUUCGGUGUGAAAUCUCCCGGCUUAACUGGGAGGGUGCGCCGAAGACUGGGAAGCUGGAGUGUGGGAAAGGCAGGCGGAAUUCCUGGUGUAGCGGUGAAAUGCGUAGAUAUCAGGAGGAACACCUGCGGUGUAGACGGCUUGCUAGACCAUAACUGACGCUGAGGCACGAAAGCGUGGGUAGCAAACG